RNAcentral lists this transfer RNA (68 nucleotides) under Delia antiqua (onion fly). RNAcentral's name for it is "tRNA-His". The record is from RNAcentral. Lineage: Eukaryota; Metazoa; Arthropoda; Insecta; Diptera; Anthomyiidae.
UAUUUAAAUAGUUUAAUAAAAAUAUUGAUUUGUGGUGUCAAUGAUAAGAGUAUAAUUCUUUUUAAAUC